AGUGAACGCUGGCGGCGUGCCUAACACAUGCAAGUCGAACGAUGAUGGAGGAGCUUGCUCUUCCUGAUUAGUGGCGCACGGGUGAGUAACGCAUAGGUAAUGUGCCCCUUAGUCUGGGAUAGCCACUGGAAACGGUGAUUAAUACUAGAUACUCCUUCUUGUCUCAAGGCAAGUCGGGAAAGUUUUUCGCUAAGGGAUCAGCCUAUGUCCUAUCAGCUAGUUGGUGAGGUAACGGCUCACCAAGGCUAUGACGGGUAUCUGGUUUGAGAGGAUGAUGAGAGACACUGGAACUGAGACACGGUCCAGACUCCUACGGGAGGCAGCAGUGAGGAAUAUUGCACAAUGGAGGAAACUCUGAUGCAGCAACGCCGCGUGGAGGAUGACGCAUUUCGGUGUGUAAACUCCUUUUAAGAGGGAAGAUUAUGACGGUACCUCUUGAAUAAGCACCGGCUAACUCCGUGCCAGCAGCCGCCGUAA
RNAcentral lists this ribosomal RNA (477 nucleotides) under uncultured bacterium. RNAcentral describes it as "partial 16S ribosomal RNA". It matches the Rfam family "Bacterial small subunit ribosomal RNA", at positions 29 to 523 of the family's 1533-position model. The record is from RNAcentral.